UGGUGUCACUCAGCUGGGCAGUC
RNAcentral lists this non-coding RNA (23 nucleotides) under Mus musculus (house mouse). The record is from RNAcentral. Lineage: Eukaryota; Metazoa; Chordata; Mammalia; Rodentia; Muridae.